CACGUAGGGGGCAAGCGUUGUCCGGAUUUAUUGGGCGUAAAGAGCUCGUAGGUGGUUCGGUAAGUCAGGUGUGAAACCUCCAGGCUCAACCUGGAGACGCCACUUGAUACUGCUGUGACUGGAGUCCGGUAGGGGAGCGUGGAAUUCCUGGUGUAGCGGUGAAAUGCGCAGAUAUCAGGAGGAACACCGGUGGCGAAGGCGGGUCUCUGGGCCGUAACUGACGCUGAGGAGCGAAAGCGUGGGGAGCGAACAGG
Molecule: ribosomal RNA, 254 nt
Filed under: uncultured bacterium
Lineage: Bacteria
Description: partial 16S ribosomal RNA
Rfam family: Bacterial small subunit ribosomal RNA
Source: RNAcentral